This 353-nucleotide long non-coding RNA is filed under the name Trifolium pratense (red clover). RNAcentral's name for it is "long non-coding RNA (TPRA_LNC006841)". The record is from RNAcentral. Lineage: Eukaryota; Viridiplantae; Streptophyta; Magnoliopsida; Fabales; Fabaceae.
AUUCUCAUACCCGCACGUUGAAAAAAUACAUGUCUCCAUUCUCAUACCCGUUUGGGUAACAACCUUUGUACCUGUGUCCAGGGACGGACAUAAGGGGGGGCAAGUAGGGGCUGAGACCCCCCCCUCUUGUCGUAUUUUUUUUUUGAUACACUUGUUCUAGAUACAUAUAUACACACAUAAAUUGAUAUUUGAGAGAUGUGUUUAAAGAUUAGUAACUACCUUUUGGUGCAAAACAUGUACCCACAACAUAGUAAUUGUAACAAUUUACUUUAAAAUAUUUUGAUAACAUAUAUUAUACAUUACUAAAGUCCAAAUUUAAUUAAGUUAGUUCUGAUUAUUUGCUACAAGUGAGA